GUACAAAGGUAGCAUNAUCNUUAGUUUUUUAAUUGAGAACUYGUUUGAAUGGUUGAAUGAGAAAUAAACUUUUUUAAUAAGAAUAUAGAAUUUUACAUUUUAAUUAAAAGGUUAAAAUGAUUUUAAAAGACGAGAAGACCCUAUAGAGUUUUAUAAUUUAUAUUUAAAUUUUUAAAAAAAAUUAAUAGAUAUUUUUAUUUAAAUAAAUUAUUUUAUUGGGGUGAUAAUAAAAUUUAAUUAACUUUUAUUUUUUUUUACAUUWAUAUAUGGAGAAUUGAUCCAUUACUAAUGAUUAAAAAAUUAAAUUACCUUAGGGAUAACAGCGUAA
Molecule: ribosomal RNA, 328 nt
Filed under: Pseudolycoriella mahanga
Lineage: Eukaryota; Metazoa; Arthropoda; Insecta; Diptera; Sciaridae
Description: partial 16S ribosomal RNA
Source: RNAcentral